This 253-nucleotide ribosomal RNA is filed under the name uncultured bacterium. Its description in RNAcentral is "partial 16S ribosomal RNA". It matches the Rfam family "Bacterial small subunit ribosomal RNA", at positions 524 to 776 of the family's 1533-position model. The record is from RNAcentral.
UACGGAGGGGGCUAGCGUUGUUCGGAAUUACUGGGCGUAAAGCGCGCGUAGGCGGCUUUGUAAGUUAGAGGUGAAAGCCCGGAGCUUAACUCCGGAACUGCCUUUAAGACUGCAUCGCUAGAAUUGUGGAGAGGUGAGUGGAAUUCCGAGUGUAGAGGAGAAAUUCGUAGAUAUUCGGAAGAACACCAGUGGCGAAGGCGACUCACUGGACAUGUAUUGACGCUGAGGUACGAAAGCGUGGGGAGCAAACAGG